GGAAGGAGAGCGGCCCGGUGCGCGCGCGCAGAGAACCCGAGACAGAGAGGGAGAGGGAGAGAAGAGAGCGAGAGCCAACCACCGCCGAGUCAAGAUUCAGCGAUUCCACAGCAAUCGCCCUAAUGACAACAGCCUCAUAAUAUCUCCCCUAAAUCCACAAAUUCAGCCGCCUCCCUAAGUAAGGAGUUGUGGAGGAGCUGUGGCAGAAGAGAAGCCUGGGAGCCCUCCUGACCCCAGGAAGCCCUGAGGAUGCCCACCUGCCCACACACACACUAGGAGCUCUGGGCCUGCCCACCAGCUCCAGAAGGGCACUCAAACUUUGGAGGCCAGCCACUUGGAUGAAGUGGAUAAGGCCUGAAAAUUACUUGUUUGCUCAUAUUGGAAGAUAAUUAUUUUAAAAACUAUCUAAUUUCUGGAGGGAAAGUAUCCUUGCAAGCCUAAAACAGACUCCAAAAGUCCAUAGAAAGCACAGGGUCCUCUCUCCCUCUGGCCACCACAGCCCCCAGGCCAGGCAUGGGUAUUUAUUCUUAGGUAUGUUGCUUUUAAGAAGAUGUAAUCAGCAUCUUGAGCCAGGCCUCCCUUUGUGAGGCUUCUGUAACUAUGGAAGUGUGAUUUACGCAGAUUUGUCGGGGUCAGAGACGUCGUUCCCCACGCACUGUGUAUAUUUAGACAGGACUUGGUUUGGUGUUAAAAAGUGUAUAUGUUGAAUGGAUUCACACACAGUAGCCAACAAUGCCCACAUUGUCGGCCCGUGUACAACGCGUAUUGAAACGCAGCGCCCAGACUUCAACUAAUCUGCCCUCAAUAAAGCUGAAAUAAUUAUCCUAA
Non-coding RNA from Microcebus murinus (gray mouse lemur), 828 nucleotides. The record is from RefSeq and is a predicted model, not a curated record. NCBI's taxonomy places the organism in Eukaryota, Metazoa, Chordata, Mammalia, Primates, Cheirogaleidae.